Long non-coding RNA from Mya arenaria, 353 nucleotides. RefSeq lists it as uncharacterized. The record is from RefSeq and is a predicted model, not a curated record. NCBI's taxonomy places the organism in Eukaryota, Metazoa, Mollusca, Bivalvia, Myida, Myidae. The transcript has 3 exons.
CACGCUUGCGUGUACUGACACCGAUGCCGUUGACACGUUGACGUAUUCCAUAGCGUCAGGAAACACUGGAACGACGUUCAGUAUUUCAGCGUCUGGUGUAAUCACACUAGCUUCCGCCCUUGACUAUGACGCGGGGACUCAGAACUUCGCGUUAAGCGUCCAAGUAACAGACGGAACCAACACGUUAACGAUCCCGGUCACUGUUGACGUCAAUCACGUGAACGAGGCUGCACCUUCUGUAACAGGAAGCACCGUUAGCAUUGACGAAACCACGGUCGUAGGAAGUGCUGUGACGACCGUCGUAGCUACGGAUGCUGACGGGGGAAUAGAUGGGGAUUUGACAUACACUAUCA